AGCGUACACGGUGGAUGCCCUGGCAGUCAGAGGCGAUGAAGGACGUGCUAAUCUGCGAUAAGCGUCGGUAAGGUGAUAUGAACCGUUAUAACCGGCGAUUUCCGAAUGGGGAAACCCAGUGUGUUUCGACACACUAUCAUUAACUGAAUCCAUAGGUUAAUGAGGCGAACCGGGGAACUGAAACAUCUAAGUACCCGAGGAAAAGAAAUCAACCGAGAUUCCCCCAGUAGCGGCGAGCGAACGGGGAGCAGCCCAGAGCCUGAAUCAGUGUGUGUGUUAGUGGAAGCGUCUGGAAAGGCGCGCGAUACAGGGUGACAGCCCCGUACACAAAAAUGCACAUAUUGUGAGCUCGAUGAGUAGGGCGGGACACGUGGUAUCCUGUCUGAAUAUGGGGGGACCAUCCUCCAAGGCUAAAUACUCCUGACUGACCGAUAGUGAACCAGUACCGUGAGGGAAAGGCGAAAAGAACCCGGCGAGGGGAGUGAAAAAGAACCUGAAACCGUGUACGUACAAGCAGUGGGAGCCUCUUUAUGGGGUGACUGCGUACCUUUUGUAUAAUGGGUCAGCGACUUAUAUUCUGUAGCAAGGUUAACCGAAUAGGGGAGCCGAAGGGAAACCGAGUCUUAACUGGGCGUUAAGUUGCAGGGUAUAGACCCGAAACCCGGUGAUCUAGCCAUGGGCAGGUUGAAGGUUGGGUAACACUAACUGGAGGACCGAACCGACUAAUGUUGAAAAAUUAGCGGAUGACUUGUGGCUGGGGGUGAAAGGCCAAUCAAACCGGGAGAUAGCUGGUUCUCCCCGAAAGCUAUUUAGGUAGCGCCUCGUGAACUCAUCUCGGGGGGUAGAGCACUGUUUCGGCAAGGGGGUCAUCCCGACUUACCAACCCGAUGCAAACUGCGAAUACCGGAGAAUGUUAUCACGGGAGACACACGGCGGGUGCUAACGUCCGUCGUGAAGAGGGAAACAACCCAGACCGCCAGCUAAGGUCCCAAAGUCAUGGUUAAGUGGGAAACGAUGUGGGAAGGCCCAGACAGCCAGGAUGUUGGCUUAGAAGCAGCCAUCAUUUAAAGAAAGCGUAAUAGCUCACUGGUCGAGUCGGCCUGCGCGGAAGAUGUAACGGGCUAAACCAUGCACCGAAGCUGCGGCAGCGACACUAUGUGUUGUUGGGUAGGGGAGCGUUCUGUAAGCCUGUGAAGGUGUACUGUGAGGUAUGCUGGAGGUAUCAGAAGUGCGAAUGCUGACAUAAGUAACGAUAAAGCGGGUGAAAAGCCCGCUCGCCGGAAGACCAAGGGUUCCUGUCCAACGUUAAUCGGGGCAGGGUGAGUCGACCCCUAAGGCGAGGCCGAAAGGCGUAGUCGAUGGGAAACAGGUUAAUAUUCCUGUACUUGGUGUUACUGCGAAGGGGGACGGAGAAGGCUAUGUUGGCCGGGCGACGGUUGUCCCGGUUUAAGCGUGUAGGCUGGUUUUCCAGGCAAAUCCGGAAAAUCAAGGCUGAGGUGUGAUGACGAGGCACUACGGUGCUGAAGCAACAAAUGCCCUGCUUCCAGGAAAAGCCUCUAAGCAUCAGGUAACAUCAAAUCGUACCCCAAACCGACACAGGUGGUCAGGUAGAGAAUACCAAGGCGCUUGAGAGAACUCGGGUGAAGGAACUAGGCAAAAUGGUGCCGUAACUUCGGGAGAAGGCACGCUGAUAUGUAGGUGAAGUCCCUCGCGGAUGGAGCUGAAAUCAGUCGAAGAUACCAGCUGGCUGCAACUGUUUAUUAAAAACACAGCACUGUGCAAACACGAAAGUGGACGUAUACGGUGUGACGCCUGCCCGGUGCCGGAAGGUUAAUUGAUGGGGUUAGCGCAAGCGAAGCUCUUGAUCGAAGCCCCGGUAAACGGCGGCCGUAACUAUAACGGUCCUAAGGUAGCGAAAUUCCUUGUCGGGUAAGUUCCGACCUGCACGAAUGGCGUAAUGAUGGCCAGGCUGUCUCCACCCGAGACUCAGUGAAAUUGAACUCGCUGUGAAGAUGCAGUGUACCCGCGGCAAGACGGAAAGACCCCGUGAACCUUUACUAUAGCUUGACACUGAACAUUGAGCCUUGAUGUGUAGGAUAGGUGGGAGGCUUAGAAGUGUGGACGCCAGUCUGCAUGGAGCCGACCUUGAAAUACCACCCUUUAAUGUUUGAUGUUCUAACGUUGACCCGUAAUCCGGGUUGCGGACAGUGUCUGGUGGGUAGUUUGACUGGGGCGGUCUCCUCCUAAAGAGUAACGGAGGAGCACGAAGGUUGGCUAAUCCUGGUCGGACAUCAGGAGGUUAGUGCAAUGGCAUAAGCCAGCUUGACUGCGAGCGUGACGGCGCGAGCAGGUGCGAAAGCAGGUCAUAGUGAUCCGGUGGUUCUGAAUGGAAGGGCCAUCGCUCAACGGAUAAAAGGUACUCCGGGGAUAACAGGCUGAUACCGCCCAAGAGUUCAUAUCGACGGCGGUGUUUGGCACCUCGAUGUCGGCUCAUCACAUCCUGGGGCUGAAGUAGGUCCCAAGGGUAUGGCUGUUCGCCAUUUAAAGUGGUACGCGAGCUGGGUUUAGAACGUCGUGAGACAGUUCGGUCCCUAUCUGCCGUGGGCGCUGGAGAACUGAGGGGGCUGCUCCUAGUACGAGAGGACCGGAGUGGACGCAUCACUGGUGUUCGGGUUGUCAUGCCAAUGGCACUGCCCGGUAGCUAAAUGCGGAAGAGAUAAGUGCUGAAAGCAUCUAAGCACGAAACUUGCCCCGAGAUGAGUUCUCCCUGACUCCUUGAGAGUCCUGAAGGAACGUUGAAGACGACGACGUUGAUAGGCCGGGUGUGUAAGCGCAGCGAUGCGUUGAGCUAACCGGUACUAAUGAACCGUGAGGCUUAACC
This 2881-nucleotide ribosomal RNA is filed under the name Shigella dysenteriae. RNAcentral describes it as "bacterial LSU rRNA". It matches the Rfam family "Bacterial large subunit ribosomal RNA". Lineage: Bacteria; Pseudomonadati; Pseudomonadota; Gammaproteobacteria; Enterobacterales; Enterobacteriaceae. The record is from RNAcentral.